RNAcentral lists this ribosomal RNA (1385 nucleotides) under uncultured bacterium. RNAcentral describes it as "bacterial SSU rRNA". It matches the Rfam family "Bacterial small subunit ribosomal RNA". The record is from RNAcentral.
AGAGGGUGCUUCUGGCUCAGGAUGAACGCUAGCUACAGGCUUAACACAUGCAAGUCGAGGGGCAGCAUUUUAGUUUGCUUGCAAACUGAAGAUGGCGACCGGCGCACGGGUGAGUAACACGUAUCCAACCUGCCGAUAACUCCGGGAUAGCCUUUCGAAAGAAAGAUUAAUACCGGAUAGCAUACGAAUAUCGCAUGAUAUUUUUAUUAAAGAAUUUCGGUUAUCGAUGGGGAUGCGUUCCAUUAGUUUGUUGGCGGGGUAACGGCCCACCAAGACAACGAUGGAUAGGGGUUCUGAGGGGAAGGUCCCCCACAUUGGAACUGAGACACGGUCCAAACUCCUACGGGAGGCAGCAGUGAGGAAUAUUGGUCAAUGGGCGAGAGCCUGAACCAGCCAAGUAGCGUGAAGGAUGAAGGCUCUAUGGGUCGUAAACUUCUUUUAUAUGGGAAUAAAGUAUUCCACGUGUGGAAUUUUGUAUGUACCAUAUGAAUAAGGAUCGGCUAACUCCGUGCCAGCAGCCGCGGUAAUACGGAGGAUCCGAGCGUUAUCCGGAUUUAUUGGGUUUAAAGGGAGCGUAGGUGGAUUGUUAAGUCAGUUGUGAAAGUUUGCGGCUCAACCGUAAAAUUGCAGUUGAAACUGGCAGUCUUGAGUACAGUAGAGGUGGGCGGAAUUCGUGGUGUAGCGGUGAAAUGCUUAGAUAUCACGAAGAACUCCGAUUGCGAAGGCAGCUCACUAGACUGUCACUGACACUGAUGCUCGAAAGUGUGGGUAUCAAACAGGAUUAGAUACCCUGGUAGUCCACACAGUACCCAAAAAAGGCUCGCUGUUUGCGAUAUACAGUAAGCGGCCAAGCGAAAGCAUUAAGUAUUCCACCUGGGGAGUACGCCGGCAACGGUGAAACUCAAAGGAAUUGACGGGGGCCCGCCCAAGCGGAGGAACAUGUGGUUUAAUUUGAUGAUACGCGAGGAACCUUACCCGGGCUUAAAUUGCAACAGAAUAUAUUGGAAACAGUAUAGCCGUAAGGCUGUUGUGAAGGUGCUGCAUGGUUGUCGUCAGCUCGUGCCGUGAGGUGUCGGCUUAAGUGCCAUAACGAGCGCAACCCUUAUCUUUAGUUACUAACAGGUCAUGCUGAGGACUCUAGAGAGACUGCCGUCGUAAGAUGUGAGGAAGGUGGGGAGGACGUCAAAUCAGCACGGCCCUUACGUCCGGGGCUACACACGUGUUACAAUGGGGGGUACAGAAGGCGGCUACCUGGUGACAGGAUGCUAAUCCCAAAAGCCUCUCUCAGUUCGGAUUGGAGUGUGCAACCCGACUCCAUGAAGCUGGAUUCGCUAGUAAUCGCGCAUCAGCCACGGCGCGGUGAAUAAAAGGCCGGGCCUUGCACU